RNAcentral lists this ribosomal RNA (253 nucleotides) under uncultured bacterium. RNAcentral's name for it is "partial 16S ribosomal RNA". It matches the Rfam family "Bacterial small subunit ribosomal RNA", at positions 524 to 776 of the family's 1533-position model. The record is from RNAcentral.
GACAGAGGUGCCGAGCGUUAGGCGGAAUUACUGGGCGUAAAGCGCACGUAGGCGGCUUUCUAAGUCGGGGGUGAAAUCCUGGAGCUCAACUCCAGAACUGCCUUCGAUACUGGAGAGCUCGAGUCCGGGAGAGGUGAGUGGAACUGCGAGUGUAGAGGUGAAAUUCGUAGAUAUUCGCAAGAACACCAGUGGCGAAGGCGGCUCACUGGCCCGGAACUGACGCUGAGACGCGAAAGCGUGGGGAGCAAACAGG